This 253-nucleotide ribosomal RNA is filed under the name uncultured bacterium. RNAcentral describes it as "partial 16S ribosomal RNA". It matches the Rfam family "Bacterial small subunit ribosomal RNA", at positions 524 to 776 of the family's 1533-position model. The record is from RNAcentral.
UACGAAGGGGGCUAGCGUUAAUCGGAAUUACUGGGCGUAAAGCGUGCGUAGACGGUAGCGUAAGUCGGGUGUGAAAGCCCCGGGCUCAACCUGGGAAUUGCAUUCGAGACUGCAGAGCUAGGGUGCGGAAGAGGGAAGCGGAAUUUCCGGUGUAGCGGUGAAAUGCGCAGAUAUCGGGAGGAACACCAAUGGCGAAGGCAGCUCGCUGGGACGGUACUGACGCUGAGACGCGAAAGCGUGGGGAGCAAACAGG